This 305-nucleotide ribosomal RNA is filed under the name uncultured bacterium. Its description in RNAcentral is "bacterial SSU rRNA". It matches the Rfam family "Bacterial small subunit ribosomal RNA", at positions 333 to 636 of the family's 1533-position model. The record is from RNAcentral.
CGGCCCCUACGGGGGGCAGCAGUGAGGAAUAUUGGUCAAUGGUCGGGAGACUGAACCAGCCAAGCCGCGUGAGGGAGGAAGGUACAGAGUAUCGUAAACCUCUUUUGUCAGGGAACAAAGACUGGGACGCGUCCCCGGAUGAGUGUACCUGAAGAAAAAGCAUCGGCUAACUCCGUGCCAGCAGCCGCGGUAAUACGGAGGAUGCGAGCGUUAUCCGGAUUUAUUGGGUUUAAAGGGUGCGCAGGCGGUCUGUUAAGUCAGCGGUCAAAGCCCGGGGCUCAAUCCCGGCCCGCCGUUGAAACUGG